GUUUGAUCCUGGCUCAGGACGAACGCUGGCGGCGUGCCUAACACAUGCAAGUCGAACGAAGUUACUUAGCGGAUAUUUUCUGAUGGAAGUUUAGUGUACUUAGUGGGGGACGGGUGAGUAACACGUGGGCUACCUACCCGGAUACCGGGGACAACUCUUGGAAACUACUGCUAAUACCGCAUAUACUACUCGAGACUCAUGUCUUAACUAACAUACAUGGCCUCAUGACCCCGCUAUCACUUAUGGAUGGGUCCGGGUCUGAUUAGCUAGUUGGUGGGGUAACGGCCUACCAAGGCAGGAUCACGGCCCGGCCUGAAAUGGUGAACGGCCACACUGGGACUGAGACACGGCCCAGACUCCUAUUGGAGGCAGCAGUGGGGAAUAUUGCGCAAUGGGGGAAACCCUGACGCAGGUCUCCGCCUGGGAUAACCCUUCGCGUCAGAAAGCUCUGUGUAAGGACAUCGUCCGUGUAUACCUACUGGAAAUGACGGUCCUGUACGCAGGAACCCGCUAACGUACUGCCGCACCGCGUAAGAGUAGGGCGACGUUGUCGUGAAUCUAUGGGUAGACCGUAUGCGUAUGUUAUCAGGUGUGAAAACCGCAGCUUAUGCGAGAUUGCACUUGAUACUGACAUCUUGAGGGCUGAGAGUGGACAUAGAAUUCCUGGAAUUGUACGUGAAUGUAAAUCGAGGAAUACCAGUCGAGGCGACUGUCUGGAUGACCCUGACCUAGGUGCGAAACGGGGUAGCAACAGCGAGUCAGAUACAUGCAGUCCUACGUGUAAACGAGAUACUAGUGUAGGAGUAUGACCCCUUCUGUGCGAGUCUCAGCAUAAUGAUCCGCUGGGAGUACGUCGCAAGCGGCUGAACUCAGGAUUGACGGGCGCACAAGCAGCUGAGCAUGUGUUUAAUUCAUGCAACGGAAAAUCCUUAACAGUCUUGACAUCCGAUCUAAUUUUGUGGAACCAGCAGUGCCUUAGGAGCUUGAACAGGUGCCGUGCUGGUGUCUCAGCAUCGUGCGUGCAGAGUUGAGGUUAAGUCCCGCAACGAGCGCAACCCAACCAUUAGUUGUUAACAGAUAAAGUUGAGCACUCUAAUGGGACCGCCUGUGACAAGCAGGAGGAAGGUGGGGAUGACGUCAAAUCAUCAUGCCCUUUCUGAAUUGGGUUACACACGUGCUACAAUCGAUGGUACAGAGAGGAGGGAGCCCGCGAGGGGGAGUGAAUCUCUGAAAGCCAUUUUCAGUUAGGAUUGGAGUUUGUAAGUAGAUUCCAAGAAGUAGGAAUGGGUAGUAAUUAAGAAUCAGCAUGCAGCGGUGAGUGAGUUCCCGGGCGGGCUACACACCCCCCGUCACACCCCGCAAGUCGGCAACACCCGAAGCCGGUGAGCUAACUU
RNAcentral lists this ribosomal RNA (1394 nucleotides) under uncultured Bacillota bacterium. RNAcentral describes it as "bacterial SSU rRNA". It matches the Rfam family "Bacterial small subunit ribosomal RNA". Lineage: Bacteria; Bacillati; Bacillota. The record is from RNAcentral.